GAUGAACGCUAGCUACAGGCUUGACACAUGCAAGUCGAGGGGUAGCAGGGUAGCAAUACCGCUGACGACCGGCGCACGGGUGAGUAACACGUAUCCAACCUUCCCAUAACUCGGGGAUAGCCUUUCGAAAGAAAGAUUAAUACCCGAUAGUACUUAUAUAGGGCAUCCUACAUAAGUUAAAGAUUUAUUGGUUAUGGAUGGGGAUGCGUUCCACUAGAUAGUUGGUGAGGUAACGGCUCACCAAGUCUUCGAUGGAUAGGGGUUCUGAGAGGAAGGUCCCCCACAUUGGUACUGAGACACGGACCAAACUCCUACGGGAGGCAGCAGUGAGGAAUAUUGGUCAAUGGGCGAGAGCCUGAACCAGCCAAGUAGCGUGAAGGAUGAAGGUCCUAUGGAUUGUAAACUUCUUUUAUAGUAGAAUAAAGUGAUCCACGUGUGGAUUUUUGUAUGUAUACUAUGAAUAAGGAUCGGCUAACUCCGUGCCAGCAGCCGCAGUAA
RNAcentral lists this ribosomal RNA (498 nucleotides) under uncultured bacterium. RNAcentral describes it as "partial 16S ribosomal RNA". It matches the Rfam family "Bacterial small subunit ribosomal RNA", at positions 28 to 523 of the family's 1533-position model. The record is from RNAcentral.